Molecule: long non-coding RNA, 723 nt
Filed under: Marmota monax (woodchuck)
Lineage: Eukaryota; Metazoa; Chordata; Mammalia; Rodentia; Sciuridae
Source: RNAcentral
CUCAGCUCUCUGGGGAGACUAGAAGACCAGCUGGAUUCUCACUGGGCUGUGGCUCCUGGAGGAAUGGACAAGAUCCUGGGAGCAUCACUUUUAAUUCUUGGCCUUCACCUCACCUGUGAGUUGUGGAGGAAAAGCCCCAGCUCAUGUGAUUAAUAUGGGGAGAUGGAAAAUUGGGACACAGACAAAUCUUGCAGGUAGGAGAUUUAUGAGGGAAAUAUAAAUUUGUUGGCCUAAUGACUUCUUGUCAUCUUUCCAAGCAGGGGUGAGUGGCCAACAGAAGGGAAAAAGUGACCAGCAGCAGGUGAAGCAAAGUCCUCAAUCUCUAACUGUCCAGGAAGGAGGGAUUUCAGUGCUUGACUGUGUUUAUGAGAACGGUGCAUUUGACUACUUCCCAUGGUACCAGCAAUUCCCAGGUAAAGGCCCAGCAUUAUUGGUAGCCAUCAGUUCAAUUAGCAUAAAAGAAGAAUUUGGAAGAUUCACAGUUUUCUUCAACAAAAGUGCUAAACAUAUCUCCUUGCACGUCACGGAUUCUCAACCUGGAGACUCAGCCACCUACUUCUGUGCAGCAGGAGCACAGUGCUCUCCAGUCACCUGCAGCUUGAUCUCAAACCUGCAGCUGAGGCCCCAGCAAAGCCCUGCUGCAGGGCUUAGACUGGCAGAAACACAGACUGGCUUUUAAUUGCACAAAUAGGUGAUGGAGUAAAUGUAUGGAUUCACUAGUGC